This is a long non-coding RNA of Mauremys reevesii (Reeves's turtle), 785 nucleotides long. RefSeq lists it as uncharacterized. The record is from RefSeq and is a predicted model, not a curated record. Lineage: Eukaryota; Metazoa; Chordata; Testudines; Geoemydidae. The transcript has 4 exons.
UGAGGAAAACACCAUACAAUCAAGCAGCAUCAGACACCAGGAGGAUCCUGUGUUUUGCUGAUACCUUCUUUUGCACCAGCUGGGGCAACUUCUAAACCUGGAACAACAUUGCUGAGAGAAAAAAGACCUUCCUUCCUGUAAGCUGCUGAGUACACUGCCUCCAAAUAUGGCAAACAGGCAUAGCUUCACCUCUACACAUGAAUGGCGUUGGGUUUCUGCUGGAGAUGGGAUAUCAGUGAUCAAGCUUUCAGAAGAGACUAGCAAGUUUUGGAUGCCUUAGUUAUUGGGGACCCGAUUUAAUGGAACCUGAUUUUUCAGAACAUGCUGGGCAUCUACCCUUUGAAACCAGAACCAUUUAAAGUGUCUCGAGUUGGAUACCUCGAAAGGGAAGCAACCUAAAUGACUCAUCGCUUCUGAAAAUCUUGGCCCUCCUUCCUACUUCAGUCUGUAGAAGCAGAGAAUGAAAAAACCUUCUGUUGUAAGUUAGAAGAACAAUCCAUGAAUGGCUUUAACAUCCUCUGCCCUCCUCUUUCAUAGCUACUGUGUAUCUCUGUUUUACUAAGUUAUUUAAACUGAGACUAAAUUUCUUCCCAGGCUCCUGGCCCCUCAUGGCAUGUUUUCUCUGUUGGAGAUUCAGUCCUUGUACAUCAUGUAGUAAAUAUAAAAAAGUAGGUUUACAGACCAGUGAAUAGAGAAAUCUCUUUCCAGGUCAAUGCAAGAAAUUAUAGAGCCUUGGAAAGCCCUAGUUUUAUCUCCUGCCAAAGGAGGGAUUAAGGCACAAUGAU